AUUGAACGCUGGCGGCAGGCUUAACACAUGCAAGUCGAGCGUCCCGCAAGGGGAGCGGCAGACGGGUGAGUAACGCGUGGGAACGUGCCCUUUGGUUCGGAACAACUUCAGGAAACUGGAGCGAAUACCGGAUAAGCCCUUCGGGGGAAAGAUUUAUCGCCAAAGGAUCGGCCCGCGUCUGAUUAGCUAGUUGGUGAGGUAAUGGCUCACCAAGGCGACGAUCAGUAGCUGGUCUGAGAGGAUGAUCAGCCACACUGGGACUGAGACACGGCCCAGACUCGUACGGGAGUCAGCAGUGGGGAAUAUUGGACAAUGGACGCGAGCCUUCUCCAGCCAUGCCGCGUGAGUGAUGAAGGCCUUAUAGUUGUAAAGCUCUUUUGUCGGGGAAGAUACUUACUGUACCGGAAGAAUAAGCCCCGGCUAACUUCGUGCCAGCCGCCGCAGUAU
RNAcentral lists this ribosomal RNA (447 nucleotides) under uncultured bacterium. Its description in RNAcentral is "partial 16S ribosomal RNA". It matches the Rfam family "Bacterial small subunit ribosomal RNA", at positions 30 to 523 of the family's 1533-position model. The record is from RNAcentral.